Molecule: ribosomal RNA, 960 nt
Filed under: uncultured Gammaproteobacteria bacterium
Lineage: Bacteria; Pseudomonadati; Pseudomonadota; Gammaproteobacteria
Description: partial 16S ribosomal RNA
Rfam family: Bacterial small subunit ribosomal RNA
Source: RNAcentral
GAAAUUUGUAAAUUACGAACUUCCUUAUAAGGGGGCGAAAUUUGGGCCCGAACGUCGCAUGCUUCCCGGCCGGCCAUGGCGGGCCGCGGGAAUUCGAUUAGAGGUUUGAUCAUGGCUCAGAUUGAAACGCUGGCGGUAGGCUUAACACAUGCAAGUCGUGCGAGAAAGUAUCUUCGGAUAUGAGUAGAGCGGCGGACGGGUGAGUAACGCGUAGGAAUCUACCUAGUAGAAGGGGAUAGCCCGGGGAAACCCGGAUUAAUACCGUAUACCUCCUUCGGGAGAAAGAAGGCCUCUCUUUGAAGCUUUCGCUACUAGAUGAGCCUGCGUAAGAUUAGCUUGUUGGUGAGGUAAAGGCUCACCAAGGCUACGAUCUUUAGCUGGUCUGAGAGGACGAUCAGCCACAUUGGGACUGAGACACGGCCCAGACUCCUACGGGAGGCAGCAGUGGGGAAUAUUGGACAAUGGGCGCAAGCCUGAUCCAGCCAUACCGCGUGUGUGAAGAAGGCCUUCGGGUUGUAAAGCACUUUAAGCAGGGAGAAAAAGUUAUAAGUUAAUACCUUAUAACCCUGAUGUUACCUGCAGAAUAAGCACCGGCUAAUUCCGUGCCAGCAGCCGCGGUAAUACGGAAGGUGCAAGCGUUAAUCGGAAUUACUGGGCGUAAAGCGCGCGUAGGUGGUUUGUUAAGUUGGAUGUGAAAGCCCUGGGCUCAACCUAGGAACUGCAUCCAAAACUAACUCACUAGAGUACGAUAGAGGGAGGUAGAAUUCAUAGUGUAGCGGUGGAAUGCGUAGAUAUUAUGAAGAAUACCAGUGGCGAAGGCGGCCUCCUGGAUCUGUACUGACACUGAGGUGCGAAAGCGUGGGUAGCGAACAGGAUUAGAUACCCUGGUAGUCCACGCCGUAAACGAGCUCUAGCUGUUGGGAGACUAUGUCUUUCAGUGGCGCAGCUAACGCUUUAAGU